GACGAACGCUGGCGGCGUGCUUAACACAUGCAAGUCGAACGGUGAAGCUCCAGCUUGCUGGAGUGGAUCAGUGGCGAACGGGUGAGUAACACGUGAGCAACCUGCCCCUGACUCUGGAAUAAGCGCUGGAAACGGCGUCUAAUACUGGAUACGAGAAGGGUCCGCAUGGGCACUUUCUGGAAAGUUUUUCGGUUGGGGAUGGUGUCGCGGGCUAUCAGCUUGUUGGUGAGGUAAUGGCUCACCAAGGCGACGACGGGUAGCCGGCCUGAGAGGGCGACCGGCCACACUGGGACUGAGACACGGCCCAGACUCCUACGGGAGGCAGCAGUGGGGAAUAUUGCACAAUGGGCGAAAGCCUGAUGCAGCGACGCCGCGUGGGGGAUGACGGCUUUCGGGUUGUAAACCUCUUUCAGCAGGGAAGAAGCGAAAGUGACGGUACCUGCAGAAGAAGCACCGGCUAACUACGU
RNAcentral lists this ribosomal RNA (467 nucleotides) under uncultured bacterium. RNAcentral describes it as "partial 16S ribosomal RNA". It matches the Rfam family "Bacterial small subunit ribosomal RNA", at positions 28 to 506 of the family's 1533-position model. The record is from RNAcentral.